Molecule: long non-coding RNA, 383 nt
Organism: Oryzias melastigma (Indian medaka)
Lineage: Eukaryota; Metazoa; Chordata; Actinopteri; Beloniformes; Adrianichthyidae
Exons: 2
Source: RefSeq, a predicted model, not a curated record
AAAUAUAGCAAAAACUAGACGUUUAUUUGUGUUGUGACUGGUUUUCCUGUCUUCCCGUGACGUCACGCGUUGUUUCCCUAACUCCCCCCUGAGCGCGUGGUCCCGGGCGCGAGCCGAGAGCCGCGCGACUGAUCACCACGGAAUAUAAACACAAAGAAGCCGCAUCAGGAGCUCCACACCGGACCCGGUAAGGACGCUACAGCUGCCGCGAUUCAAGAUAAAAAGAAAAUAUAAUAAUUCCACCUUAAGAGAGAACACAAACAGAUGCUGAGAGGUCCGGCCACGGCUCCUGAAUCCAGACGAAACUUCUGUGAAUGAGAAAGGAUGCAAAUGUGGAAGCAGUUGGUGUUGGAUUCAGUUUCUCUGCGUUUUUUUUUUUUUUU